Long non-coding RNA from Tympanuchus pallidicinctus (lesser prairie-chicken), 283 nucleotides. RefSeq lists it as uncharacterized. Lineage: Eukaryota; Metazoa; Chordata; Aves; Galliformes; Phasianidae. The record is from RefSeq and is a predicted model, not a curated record. The transcript has 2 exons.
AAACCGUCCUCCUGCGGGUGUGGAGGGACGACUGCUGGCGGGAGGGAGGAGGGCAGCUGCCUUCCCCCAUCAGCAGCGCCGUUCUGGCGUCCCACGGCAGCCCAGAGAACGGAGCAGAGCAAGUCAGCCCCGCAAAGCCCUCGGCCGUGUCAGAUUGGAGGCGCGGAGCAACUGAGGAAACGCAGAACGCACCUGCGUGUGCCGAGUGGAAAUUCACGGCAAUUCGCAAAAGACAGCAGAGAUUUUUAGUAGUAAUAAUAAGAACAAAAGGUUGAUGACUUUC